UACAGAGGGGGCAAGCGUUAUUCGGAAUUAUUGGGCGUAAAGGGCGCGUAGGCGGCUUGGCAAGUGGAAGGUGAAAUCCCUCGGCUUAACCGAGGAACUGCCCUCCAAACUGCUUGGCUCGAGUAUGGAAGAGGGUCGCGGAAUUCCCGGUGUAGAGGUGAAAUGCGCAGAUAUCAGGAGGAACACCGGUGGCGAAGGCGGUGAUCUGGGCCGACACUGACGCUGUAGAGCGAAAGCGUGGGGAGCGAACAGG
Molecule: ribosomal RNA, 253 nt
Filed under: uncultured bacterium
Lineage: Bacteria
Description: partial 16S ribosomal RNA
Rfam family: Bacterial small subunit ribosomal RNA
Source: RNAcentral